GAUGAACGCUGGCGGCGUGCCUAAUACAUGCAAGUCGAGCGAACGGACUAGAAGCUUGCUUCUCUGAUGUUAGCGGCGGACGGGUGAGUAACACGUGGAUAACCUACCUAUAAGACUGGGAUAACUUCGGGAAACCGUAGCUAAUACCGGAUAAUAUUUUGAACCGCAUGGUUCAAAAGUGAAAGACGGUCUUGCUGUCACUUAUAGAUGGAUCCGCGCUGCAUUAGCUAGUUGGUAAGGUAACGGCUUACCAAGGCAACGAUGCAUAGCCGACCUGAGAGGGUGAUCGCCCACACUGGAACUGAGACACGGUCCAGACUCCUACGGGAGGCAGCAGUAGGGAAUCUUCCGCAAUGGGCGAAAGCCUGACGGAGCAACGCCGCGUGAGUGAUGAAGGUCUUCGGAUCGUAAAACUCUGUUAUUAGGGAAGAACAUAUGUGUAAGUAACUGUGCACAUCUUGACGGUACCUAAUCAGAAAGCCACGGCUAACUACGUG
Molecule: ribosomal RNA, 497 nt
Filed under: uncultured bacterium
Lineage: Bacteria
Description: partial 16S ribosomal RNA
Rfam family: Bacterial small subunit ribosomal RNA
Source: RNAcentral